CACUAAUUAUUUCCCAAACCUUCAAGCUUCGAUUAUUUGUUUCUCCACCAAAAUUCAACCACCCUUUUGAAUAAAUCUCAUUUAUCCCUACAGGGUCUCUUAUAAUGGACCUAUCAAAAAAAGGUGUUAGAUGUUGAGGUAAUGACAAAGAGGGUGUGUUUUUUUCAAGGUUGGAACAAAAGUAAGACCAUGCUUUCAUAAACAAGGUUGAAGAUUUUCCAUCAACAGCUGCAUGGUGUGUGGUUAUACCAAUACAAAAUCCAUGGUUAGGAAAAAAAGUGACUUGUAGUGAAAUAAUUGAUGCUUUUUCAUUUGAAAUCUCCAAACUUGGGAUUAAGUGUUGUUUUUUUUCAACUUCACAAAAAUUUGAACAUAAAAGGUUGAAAUUUUCAUUUGAUUCAGCUACAAUCAAUGGAAUGGAAUCACUAGGGACAUAGUUGAUGAUGGGAUGUGAUGAAUCUUGUGGCCAUGUGAUGUUACCAACAAGAAGGAAGAGAGUGUUUGAGAUUUGGAAGAAUGGAAUCAAAAAAAGAAGUGGUUGAUAAAUUUGGGUGUUCAUAAAAGAAGAGACGUUCAACUGGUGGGAGUCUUAGCCAUAGUGAGUCAAAGAAAGUGAAGGGAAAAGUAGUUGGGGAGGUUUCAUUUUGAGGUGCUAUUGAAAAAUUUUUAUGAACUUUGAGAGAUAUUGCCAUGAGAAAUUGAUGAGGAAAUGAGGCUUGGCAAUUUGUAGACUUAAUAAGCAUUUUAUGAUGAUGAUGAUGAUGAUACAUAGGCUAUGAAUAUGCUUUCAAUAUAUGACAAGGACAUAUCUAGGAAUCACACGUCACAUGGUUCGAAUUGGUGAGGAUUUGAAGUAUUUAUCUAAGGGGAACUUCUACGGUACACUGUAAAUUAAGGUGUACUGGUAUUUUUAUUUCAUAAAUUUAUAAAUUAAUGAUCAAUUUUAUGAAAUAAAUAGUUAUUUAUCGGUAUUUAUAUUUUAGAAAAUACUAUUUCAUAUGUCAUUCAUUGUUUAUAAGAAUCAUAGUAUUUUUUUUAGAUAUUAUCGUAUAAAAUAAUCAAAGUUCUCUAUUAUAAGCGAUAAAAAUUCAAAAAAAUCAAUUUUAUUUCGUUUACGCUUGUGAUGAAUAAGAUUUAAUCAUUAUAAUUAUAAAUAAAAAAUAAUAAUAUUUUUCUUCAUAAAAUAACUCAUUUACCAAUAAAAUUAAAGGUUUGGUGUACCGAUACACUCAAAUAUGUUGGGUGUACCGUAGAAUUUGUCUAUGUAAGCUCCUUUUCACCUUAUUGUUUUGUUUUUUACUUUAGGAAAUUUUUGAUGUAGGAUGUCGGCAAAGAUGUUGAACAUAUUGGUUUCAAGUCAUACGUGUCGAAAAGGCAAGUUUGCAAAUAAAGGGUGACCAUUCUUUGGAUGAUCUCCGUGCUUUUUUUUUUUAUUUGUGUUUGAACUUCGAAACUUGCAUAUAUAAUGCAUUGUCUAUACCAACUAAAUUAAAUUCACGAACACCUCUUUGUGUUUAACGUUGAUAUAUAAAAUACUAACGAGUUUUUAAAAUUUUACCAUAUCAACUUUCUUAUAUUGUAUUUAAAAAUUUACUUAUGUAAUUUUAAAUUUUUAAAAUCUACAACAAGCGUGGGCCAAAUAUUUAACGUGUUUUGUAUAUAAAAUAAAAAAUAUUUAAUAAAAAAAUACAUUAAUGUCGAUAUUUUGAAAAUAGUCACGAGUUUUCAAAAUAUUAUCAUAUCGACUUUCUCGUAUAGUACAUAAAAGUUUACUUCUAUACAUUUGUCAAUUUUUUUUACUUCUAUAUCUAUAAGUAAAUAAAAUCUGCAACGGAAGCGAUGCAAAUAUUUAACAGAUUUUUGCAUACUAAAAAAAAAUAUUUAAUUAAUAAACCUCUUAAAACAUAUUUAACAUAAACAUUACAUUAAUGCCGAUAAUUUUCAUCUAAUACAUUUAUACAUUUUACAAUAUUUACAAUGUAAUUAUUUUUUAUAUAAUUACCACAAUAUUACGCGAUCUAUCUGAAUACACAUAUUUUUACUAAUGAUGCUUAAAGAGCCACCAUCGAUCUAAAAUGGUACACAAAAAUGAAUAUGAAUAUGUACCUUGACUGACCUCGACAUAAAUGUUACAAUAAUGACGUGGCUAUGCAUUGUUGCAUCUAGAAGUAAAACACCAGUACACCACCUUAAUUUGGUGAAAUUAUUCUACCGACACAAUCAUAAAUAAUAAAUAUUUACAUUCACAUCAAAUACAAAAAUUAAUAAAAAAUAAAACUAAAUAACAUUGAUUGAUGUGGUUUAUUUAUUUUUAUUUUAAUUUUUUCUAUUUGAUGUAAAUGUGUUCAAAUAUUUAUCAUUUUUGAUUGUGUUUACAUAAGAGUUUCUUAAUCAAUCCUAAACAAAAAUAUUCAUAGAAAAGAAUACGUGGACUGCAUAAUGCAUUAUUUCAAUUACUUGCUUAUCACAUCACAAUCACAUACUAUAUUAUUCCUUAAAAAAAUCACAUACUAUAUUACUGGCAUCUUGACAUUAUGCUAAGAAAAUAUAUAAGACGACAAAAAAACUAUGACUACAACAUGUUUGAAAGUUUACACUGUGGAGAGAUUCAAGGAGACAAACAUUGAAGGCGCCUUGAGUUUGAGAUAAAACAAGUAUAUGAAGCUAAAACAUCCAGAUUUGAGGAGGCAAAGCUUACCAUUCAUUAAUUCAUUUCAAUCUAACAAAUAUCCUUAAAAAAAAAUUGUGAAUAUUUUUCUUUUUUCUCUUUUACAAUUUGUUUUUUCUCCAGAUUUAUUUAAUAACUGAUGUAUUUAGUUUAUAUUGUAAACCAAAAACAUUAAUUAUAUAAUAAAUCUUUAAACAAAUUGUUUAUGUCUGAGACCAAAUUCAUAAUAAAAUACUCUCUCCGUUUCAAAUUGUAUAACGUUUUGGACAUUUCACACAUAUUAAGAAAUGUAAUUAAUAUUGUGUGAGAAAGAGAUAUUAUGAGUUGUUUUACAAAAUUGUCCUUAAUAAAUUAUAUGAGAAAGAUAAAUGAAUGAAUUGAAAGAAAAGAGAGUAAUAAAUAGUUAAAGACAUAAUAGAAAAAGUAACAUUAAUAUUUUAUUAGUAUUGUAAAGCGACAUAUAAUUUGCGACAAUUUUUUUUCUUUCUAAAAUGACUUACAAUUUGGGACGGAGGGAGUACAUAUUAACAUAAGUAUUUUAAUUUGACAAAAAAAAAAUGUAUUUUAAGAAUUUAUCUUGUCCUACUUGGGGUGAUGAGCUAGAAGACAUUGAGCGAGUUUAAAGCAAAAGGUCCUCAACAAUUUCAAUUUCCAAACUUAUAAAAACAAUUCAAAAUAUAAAUCCAAGAUGUGAAUCGUCUGAUCUAAAUCGAGAGAUUAAAAUCUACAACAGUACGAUUGUGUUUUUUUAAAAGGCAAAGUAAUAUAUGAUAGACAAUCCAUUUUCUUGAUACAAUUACAAUGAUUCAAGUCCUUGAACAAAAAGUUGAGCAAAAACCUCCAUUUGUUGUUUGUUCAAAGCCAAACCAAUCUCAAUUCCACCAUCAUUAUUCCUAUUCUCCGAAAGAGAAAAAGCUCCUGUUUUAUCAAUAGAAGUAACAUCAACUUUCUUAGGUUUACCCCAUCCAAAAUCAAAACUAUAAACAUCAAACCUAGGUGACCCGGCAAUAGAAAACAUCCUAUCUGUCUCACUCAUUGUAGAUUGCAUUAUUGACAUCCAAUUCUCCAAACCCUUCAACACACCAUUUUCCAAACCCUUCAACACAUCACUUAUCCCUUCAAGAGCACUAAUAAAUCCAUCAUCUUUUAAAAAUUCCUCGGUUUCACCCAAAACUAAUUUUGACACAACACAAUUUCCAAAAUAAUUUGCAUUAAUUGGUGGAUCCAAACGUGGCCUACAAUCCACACUAAAAAUAAAAGGUACCUUGUUGGAUUUUGGUUGGUCAACUUUUAUCGUACAUGCCAACAAAUAAGCACAAGUAACUGAAAAAGUUGAAAGCUUAAUAACCUUGUUAUUUUUUUCAAUCUUGGAUUGUGCAUGUUUCUUAAGCUUUUGAAUAUCCAAAGGUGACAAUUGAAAAAUACCUUUGGUUGCUUCACCCUUUAUUGUAUUAAUUGUUUCCCAAACCUUCAAGCUUCGAUUAUUUGUUUCUCCACCAAAAUUCAACCACCCUUUUGAAUAAAUCUCAUUUAUCCCUAUAGGGUCUCUUAUAAUGGACCUAUCAAAAAAAGGUGUUAGAUAUUGAGGUAAUGACAAAGAGGGUGUGUUUUUUUCAAGGUUGGAACAAAAAUAAGACCAAGCUUUCAUAAACAAAGUUGAAGAUUUUCCAUCAACAGCUGCAUGGUGUGUGGUUAUACCAAUACAAAAUCCAUGGUUAGGAAAAAAAGUGACUUGUAGUGAAAUAAUUGAUGCUUUUUCAUGUGAAAUUUCCAAACUUGGGAUCAAGUGUUGUUUUUUUUCAACUUCACAAAGAUUUGAACAUAAAAGGUUGAAAUUUUCAUUUGAUUCAGCUACAAUCAAUAGAAUGGAAUCACUAGGGACAUAGUUGAUGAUAGGGUGUGGUGAAUCUUGUGGCCAUGUGAUGUUACCAACAAGAAGGAGGAAGUGGUUGAGUGUGAGCUCAAGGGAAUGUUUGAGAUUUGGAAGAAUGGAAUCAAAGAAAAAAUUGGUAGAUAAAUUGGUGUGUUCAUAGAAGAACAAACGUUCAACCGGUGGAAAUCUUACCCAAAGUGUGUCAAAGAAAGUGAAGGGAAAAGUAGUUGGGGAGGUUUCAUUUUUUGGUGAUAUUGAAAAAACUUGAUGAACUUUGUGAGAUUGUGCCAUAAGGGAGGGAAGAAAUUGAUGAGGAAGUGAGGCUUGGCAAUUUGUUGACUUUAUAAACAGUUUAUGAUGAUGACGAUGAUGAUACAUAGGCUAUGAAUGUGCUCUCAAUAUAAUAAUAAUAAUAAUAAUAUAAUAAUACAUUCUUUAUAAAUCAAUUCCUUAAGGUAUCCAAUUUAUUUGCAUACAAAUAGUGCAUACAAACAAUUUCAACACUAAUAGUGCAUACAAAUCAAUUCCUUAAGGUAUCCAAUUUAUUUGGAGGAAAGAUGUCCCGUUUAAGAUAUCGGUAUUUGCUUGACGACUUUUUCGUAAUAGAUUGUCUACGAAUGAUAAUUUAUUUUAAAGGAGGAUUAUAUAGGAAUAUGCUCAGUUGUGUGCUUCUGGAUGUGGGAUGUUUGAAUCGGCGGAUCACCUAUUUUUGCAUUGCGAUGUGUUUGGUCAGGUUUGACAACUUGUUCGUCAUUGGUUAGGUGUUUCUUCAAUAAACCCAUUAACCACCUCGGAUCAUUAUCUUCAGUUUUGUAUUUCUUCUGGUUUUGCUAAUUCCAGAUGCUCUUUUAUGCAUUUAGUAUGGUUUGCAAGCAUUUGGGCAAUUUAGAAGGAAAAGAAUGCAAGAAUAUUUUGUGUAAAAGAAUCAUAAGUUCAAAUCUAGGUCACCACAUUUCACCUCGCUUAUGUGUGUGUUUAUUUGAAUAUUUGUUGGUGACUAAGCUAAUAAAAAAAAUACGCAGUAAGAUUCAAUAACAUGAUUUUUUAGUUUGUACAAAAAAAACAUAAUUUUUUAGUUUCCUCCUUGUUUUUUAGGACGAAGGAGGGUGCAAGAUAAUUAAAGUGGCUUCUUAUAAUUUUUUAUUUUAUAACAAUGAUAGUUUUAUUAAAUGCUAAAACUGUUUAAACAUUCAAUAUAUUAAGUUUUUUUUUUUGUUACGGUCAAUGCUUUUCUUAGUGUCAAUAUUAAAGAUAUAAAAAAAAAAAAAUUAAAAAACCGUUUAUGGGAUUUUAUUCUUCAUUAUUGAAGGCUGGAUCUAACCUAAGGAUCCAUCUAGACUUCAUAACGUGCAAAUCAAUAUUAGUUAAUGAUCUAGUCACGAUGAUUAUUUAUACUCAGUGUCUUACAUACUUCAAAUAUACUUAACUUUACUAGAGGAAACCUAAAACUUAUUUUCUCUGAUCACAUUUAUAGUAGAUAUUCGUCCGUUAUUUAAUUAAUCUAGAAAAUGAAUAGUUGUUUAUAAUUUUUGUUUUGGUAGUGUAUAGUUGUUUAUUAUUUUUUUUGACAAAAAUAAAAUGAUAUUCAUUCAUUCAAAUCGAGAGAUUACAUCAUUCAACACCGCUAAAAACGUAAAGGAUGAAUCUGCGAACAAACUUACAUCAUCUAAGUUAAUAGCAUAUAACAACAUAAUGCCUACAAAAAUAUAUGAUAAAAUUAAAGUGAUCGGAAUAUCCAUGACCUCCGAAUCUGCAACGUUGAUGCCCAAAUCUUUGAUUGAAUAAUCGAUCUUUCAAUAUGAAUCAAAUGAACACCUCACGAAGACGGGAAAUCAAACAACACCGCACAAGACGACGAACAACAAACCACCACACUUAGAUGAUGAAAUCACAAAGGAAAAACAAAAAAACCUAGAUCUAUAUAUGUGAAAAUCACUUAUUUAGAUUGAAAUAGAGAGAAAAGAUGAAGAUGAGUGAUUUCAGGUCAAGAAUUGACCCAAAACCACCCCUCAAUGGAGAAACUGUAAGAGAAAACCUAAAGAGAUAAAACUAGAUUUGCCUUAUUAGUGUAUAGUUGUUUAUAAAUGUAACAAGAAUUUUAUAUUUUUAAUGUCAUAUAGUUUUUUUGUUAUAUCACUAACAACAUAGCCUUAAUAUUUAAUACUACUAAUUUUAUUUUUUUUGAAAGAAUUUAAUACUACUAUUUUGAAAACUCGUAUAACAUGCAUUCAAUGAAGGGCGUAAGCCCUCUUUUACCACAAAAAAAAAAACUCGUAAUGGAUGUUGCUAUCAACGUAGUCGUGAGUCUAUGAGAAACGAAUCUUAAUUGUUGAGUUAGGUCAAUACAUUUGUCUCACCAACUCCGUCAUAUGCAUCCAAGCAGGCAGGCAGCUGUAUAUCAUUUGGAUUUGGAAGCUUCUUUUCUACUUUUGAAAAUCAUUUCUAAAAUAUACUAAAAAAUUUAAAAAUUUAUGUCAUUCUAAGACAAAAAUACUUUUUUAUUUAUUUCCAAAAUACAUUUUUUUAUGUGAAAAAAUAUAUUUUCAUAUUUGUGGUAGGAGAGAGAAGCUCUCAUUUCAUUUAACAUAUUUUAAAAGAGAUAUUUGAGUCAAAAAAAAUUAAUGUAUCUGAUCAAAAUAAAACCAAAUACAUCUAUCCGUUGAUUUAAAUGUUUUUUAUAUCUAUAAUUGGGAUUGUAUGAACUUAGUUUUUCAUUUUGUAUGGCAAGCAUAUGAGUUAUGUCCACACUUUUAUUAUCGCAAAAUUAAAUGACGUGGUAGUUAACAAUUGUUUCAAUGUUGUUUUUCAUUUGAAUUAAACAUUCAAGACAUUGUUUAGUUUUAUCUUCUUUCUAAUGUACUUUUAGUUGCUUCAUCAUGUAUAAUAUUAUAUAUGUUAGACAAAUCUCUCUAUUUGCUAAAAAAAAAGAGACAAAUCUCUCUAUCUCCAUGUAUAUUCCAUACUUAAAGCUUAUCUCUAUGUAUAUUCUAUACUUAAUGCUUAUUUUUGUCUAAACUUAAUCUUAGCUUGGCUCAGAUGGCUCAUAUAUGUCAAUGUAUUUUGAUAGUUGCGGCUGUGUUGAAUUGUAAAUUUAAAACAUUUUAAUAUAUGGGGUUUAAGUUGAUUUUAAUUAAUUAUGUGUUGAUGGUACGUGAGUCGACUUCGUGUUAACGAUCGAUUCAUUUGCUAAAUGUUAGAUCCGAGCUUGAUUGUUAGAAUUGUUUAAGAUUGGAUCUACUUUAUGGAUAUUUUAGGGUUGUUGACCGAGUCAGGUUUUAUGUCCCUCCAAUUUUUAUGUAUUUUUUAAUAAUAUAUAUGAAUAAUUGACACUGAUUAGAGUAACAUACCAACUUAGUUGGACACUAUUCCUUUUUAUGUCAUUUUACUCUUAGCUUAUAAAAAAUUUAAUCAUGUGUUUUUUUUAUAAAAUAUUUUCUUUCAAAAACAAAAAUCUUAAGAAAAAAAGUGAUGUUAACAAAGAAAAAGGGGUUAAAAUCCUCUCCAUUCACUAUUUAUUUUUUGUUCAUUGAGGUGACAAAACAAAAGACCAGCACUAGGAGUAUCAAUAUAGCAAUGCAAGGGGGAGUUGGAAGUAAAGAAAUUGUCACGUUUUCCAACUAAUAGCAUGUUUGGAUUUAUGUUGCAGUGCCUUUUUCGAGUCUCAUUGCGUUCUAGACGUGAUAAUAAAGAAGCUUUAAUUUGUAGAGUUUGGAAAAACGUACGUUUGGUGGUAUCCCACUGUGGAAACAAACACAAGUUAAAGGAGGAACAACGGCAAACACUUUGUGAAACAAUUGAGCUUAAGACGUUUUGGUGAUUGAAAUCAAAAUAUAUUACAUUCGAUUUUGAUUACUAUUUUUUGAAGGAUUAAUCAUAUUCAUUGUUUGUCUUUUUUUUUAAGAGCAAUGAUACAUGGACAUUCCCAUGUGGCAUACCACCAUCUACACCCUUCCAUGUGGCAUUUUUUUAUUAGUUAUAAUGGGCAAUUUUGUCUUUAAAAAUAAAAUGAGGGGCAAUUUUGUCCAAUACACUCACAACAACUUUCUCACCCUCUCUUUUCUGUCUUUCUUCUCCUUUACCGGCCACCACCACCAACUCCCACCGGCCACCGUUGUCCUCCGUCCUCAACCUCAAAUAUCACAUCUACCACCACCAUCGCCACCGUCCAAAAGCUAGAUCUCACAACCGUCGCCCUCGUCUCGAAGCUCAGAUCUCACCACCACUGCAGCCACCACAACCACCGUCAUUUUCAGAUCUAAACACACCCAUCGAUCGUCAUCAUUAACCUCUCAUCUCGACGCCUCCACCACCACCGUCCUCGCACUCUUUCUCCAAAACACAACAACAACAAUUUUAAACAAACCCAAAACAAGAGACGGCGAUGGCGUCGGAAUUUGAGGAAACAAGUGGCAGAGAGAAAGAGGUGAGGGAGAAGAGAGAAAUAGAGACAACCAUUUGAGGAGAAGGAGAGAAAAAAAUCAGAAUAGAGAGAUAUGAGGAGAAAGAGGAGAUCGGCAGGAAGAGAGAAGGAGAAAAUAAAAUUAGGGAGAGAGAAAGAUGAGAUAAGAUUUCAGGGGAGAGAGUGACAAAAAAUUUAAAAUUAAAAUGCCAUGUAGGAGGUGUACAAUGUGGUAGAGAAAAAAGGAGGUCUAUGAUGUAUCCUUUUUCUUUUUUUAAAGUUGUUCCUCUCUUUUUUUGCUUAUCCUUUAUUGAAUUUGUGAUGUAACAUUGUAACUCUUGUAAGUUUUUCCGAUAAACCUUGAGUUGGAAGGAGAAAUAAUACAAAGGUAAGGGACAUAGACCAAACCCACAAUGAACAUAAGGAAAUUUAUGAUUAUGCAAAGUUGAAUAUAUUCAUAAAGAAAUCCACCUACAAAAGCUUUGUCAUCGCAUUCCACCAACUAAAAUCAGAAAUGAUCAUACAAAUGAAACUAACCAAAAUAUGAAAAUUCUAUUAAUGAUGAUAUAAGUAUCUACCGAGUUCCCUUAAAAAAAAUAGUCUAUACCGAGUCCAAAACAACUAAAAUACUCGUAUGAGUUUAUACAAAUAAGUACUCCGUCCUAAAUUAUAAGUAAAAAAAACCUAUUUUCUUUGUCCCAAAUUAUAAAUAAAAAAGACUAACUUUUAUCAUAUUCAAAUAUGUUUUUUUAAAAAAUUAUCUUUUUCAAAGGAAAAUUAAAUGCAAAAUGCAUUCAAUUUGCUCUCAUUUUCAUUUUCUCUAUAAUCAACUACCAAUGAAAAUUAUUUUUACAUCUUCCUAUAAAACUUAUUUCAAAGAUAACACAAAAAACUAUGUUACAAACUACUACCUAUAUUUUAAUUUUUUUAAUAAAUGUGAUUUAUGUUUUUUUGCUUAUAAUAUAAAACGGAGGGAGUAUAUUCAUUAAUUUAACCAAGAAUGGUGUACUGUACCCAACAUAUUUAAAGUGUAUCAGUUCAGUUCAUCAAGAAUGAUUAAACACAUAUUUUAUCAUUAUUUAUGAAUCAUAUGCAUGAUUCGAUUAAUUAAUUGAGACUAAAUUAGAUAUUUAGUUUCAUAAUUGAUUUUAUAGUUUUAUUUGGUCUCAUAACUACAACUACUUGCGCAUUGGUCCCUAAAAUAGAUUUUCGUUAGUGGUCUCAUUAUGUCAAUUUAAACCUCAAAUGUUUAAGGUGGAUCAACAUUGUAGGUACUACAAUAGAUCUCAUUAUAUAUAUAAUUUUAACCAUUAUAUUUUUUUAUAAAAAAUGGGGAUCAUUGGAUAUCAUGUAGAUCUAUUAUAUCUUAUCGUAAACUAUAACACCCUACUUCUAUUAAAGCAAUUAAACAUGCGAAUAAUACAUUUAUUCAAGAAAUAGAGGCUACGCCACAUUCAAAAUUCAAAAAACCAAUAAACAUGUAUAUAAACCUCAACAGUCGCAGCGGAAUAUUAACCAGAGUAAAUCCAAGUAUACAUGUUAUGAAUCAAUAAAUUACAUCAACAUCGAUGCAUCUCAAAAAUCCCAACAAACGGGUAAUCUCCAAUCAUAACAAAAUCCAAAAUAUAAGAUAAUCUAGACCGACACAACGAAGCCUAGAUCAGAGCCGACUAAACAUCUAAACACCGAUAUCGGAGAAAGCUCGCGAUAUCCACCAAGCACAAUACUCACCAAGCAUCCUACACUUGCACAACGUCUACCCAUCCAUACAGAUAGGCAGGCGGUCCAUAACAGAUCCACUGGGGGUAAGUAUUACAUUAUCAUAAUACAAAUAACAAAUAACAUAAAUAUUUCAAUUUAAACAUCAUGCAAUUGAUCAAUAAUAAUAACACAUUAAUACUUACAUCACACCCCGAUAUCUCACAUCAAUAUUCAUCAAUCAUAUGAACAAUUAUCAAUUUACAAAUAUUCAUUCACAAUCACCAAUCACAUUUAUCAUGAAUAAUCAUUAAUCACAUUUCAUGAACAAUCACCAAUUACAUGUAUCAUGAAUAAAUAUCAAUUAACAGUUAUUCAUACACAAUCACCAAUCAUAUACAUCAUGAACAAUCACCAAUCAUAAGCCAUGAACAUUCACCAAUUACAUUUCAUGAACAAACAUCAUUCACAUGUAUCACGUACAAUCAUCAACACAAGUAUCAAGGGCAAUCAUCAAUCACAUACAUCAUUUAAGACUCAUGUCAUGAUAUGCACUUAUUGACACAUAAAUGCAUGUGGUACCAAAUCUCAACAAGGUCGUCACCUUUCGAUGCCACUUGCACAUCGUAUGUAAGGCUCACACCUGCCUUACAAUAAUCUCGAAGUAAAAGAGCUCAACCCUUUUACAACAACAUCGACUAUGAUGCAUGGACAUGUAUAAGGACUCGAUAAUGCGACAACAAUUAACAAUCUCAACCUCAAUAUAUAGGACAACACCCAAUUAUAUUGAUUAUCUCCACAACAUUGCAUUAUCAAGAAAACAUGCCCACACAAAUAAAUCAUAGCAUUCACCAUCACACCUCAACAUGAUUAUCAAUAAUCAACAAUGUCAUCCAACAUCAACUAUCACAUAUAGUUUCACCAUUUCAAACAAUUCUCAUAUUCCAAGUAAGAGAACAUACAACAUCUCAUGACAAAUAUCAUAUCCAACAUAUAAUCAUUCAACAUCAACUAUCACAUAUAGUUUCACCAUUCAAGCAUUCCUUACAUUCUAAGUAAGAUAGCAUACACAUCUCAUGAUAAACAUCAUAUCCAAUACAAUCAUUCAUUCAAACAUCUUCACUUAGUCAUAUAAGGAUAGUCACGAUAGAUUAUAAGAAAAUUGGUUCAAAGGAAACAUUUCCGACAAAAACCGUAUCAAGUGGCAAAAGGCCAACAUUGAUAAUUCCCAAGACAAAGCAACUUAGACAAAUUGAAAGCUCUCAAAAAAUCUUAAUCAAUAAUGUAGUCAUGAGCUUAAGCCACUUACAAACUAUUAGACAUCAGUUCAAAGAAUAACUUAAGUUCGUAUGAGAAAACCCAAUUUCACAAUCUUUCACAUUCCCAUCCGAAAUAUCAUUUUUGACAUGAUUAAGAUGUUUGACCAACCAUACAAGUCUUACCUAAGUCUAUAAGAGAUGUAGGUUUAACUUGUAAUCCUAUUUAGUUCACAAAAGUUCAUUUUGACAAAAUCCGACAUUUCCUAAAAUUCCAAGUUCCAUAUCAUUUCUUCCAUAUUUCAAAACCAAUUCAUUUUCAAAACAAAAACCAAGUUAGGAUCAAGCUAUGAUACUCUUAGAAGCUUAAUUAUAAAUUGAUUGAAUAAGGUUAAGAGUUUGGAAUCCAUUGGCAUGCUUAAAAGUACACAAAAACACGAAAAAACGAGGUUUCGGAAUUCUGCAGAACUGACACGGUCGUGCCAUCAGGAAGCACGGUCGUGCUCCCUUUACAGGAGAAACUGACACGGUCGUGUCAUCUAGACGCACGGUCGUGUCACCUCACCAGUACAGCAAAAUGCAUUUUUACGUUUUUGCGCAUAAAAUCUUGUUUUCGAAUCCGAUUUCAAUUCCGUUUUCGCCAAUGAAUUCCUAACACUUAGACCAUACAAACCACACUUGAAAACUUGACAUUUAAACAUUAAAACAACUUAAUCAACUCAUCCCAAAAUGACUUAUUUUGCAAAAGCACUUAAAAACCACUUUUACUCAAAAACCCGUUUUCUUCCCAAAACGAUUUCUCUCCAAAACCAAGUGAUUAAAACAGAAAAUCAUACCAUCAUAAUUCAUUAUAACAACUUCCUUAUCUCAUUCAACAUCAUCAAAAUCAAACUUCUUCUUUAUCAACCCAUUUUACAAAACCACCAACAACAACUCAUUUUCUCAACAACAAUCAUGAUAUAUGAACACCCAAGCCAAAAUUCAUGAUCAACAACAUAUCUCAGCAACAACAACAUCAAUUGAAACUUGAUUCACACACCAAUUCAACAACAACAUGUCAUAAGUCAUCAAUUAAGCAUAAUUUCACAACAACCCAUUUUCAUACAUUAUGAACAUAUUAUUUCAUCAUCAACCAUUCAUUUAACAUCAAAUAACAUAUCCAAACAUAUCUCUACAACAUAAGCACGAAUUUCAAAGAUUGGGUUCAUGAUAAUCACUUAUUCUCAUAAUCAAUUAUGCAUAAAAUCAAGAGAAAAAGAAUUAAACAAAUGAUUAUGAUAAAGACUAACCCCCUUACCUUUGAAGAUGAUUAUUCCUAAACUCUUGCUUCAAUUCAGCUCCUAAUCUUACCCCAAUUAUUCCUCAAGCUAUUCUCUUCAAAACCCUUGUUCUUCUCAUCACCUCUUUCUCUCUCUAGGAAAAUUUUAGUGAAGUGAACGAAAGAUAUUUUCUAUGACAACCCUAAUGUUAUCUCCCUUAAUGGGCUUAACUCAAAAUGCUAAUGGGCCUAACCCAUUCUAACAUAAUUCUAAAAAGUUUCUAUACACCCCACGGUAAUUACUAACAACGGUAAAACAUAACCAACUGUCACUAACGGUAAAAACUAAUCACAACACUAGUAACUUAGUAAAAUAAGGGUUCUCACUUAAUAUGAAAAUAAUUCUCACCCAAAUUACCAUUUUACCCUUACCCGUCAAAUGACCAAAAUACCCUCCUAAUACGGAAAUCCAUGUAAAUGCACCCACUGACAAUUAAUUACACACAAGCACCAAUAAUCACACACAAACACAUAAUAAAAGUAAUUAAAAUAAAUCUAGCUAAAAAUCGGGCUGUUACAUAAACCACCAACAAUUAAUUUUUUAUUUUUGUUUUAAAAAAAUAAUAAUUUACUUUUCUUCAUCUUCUUCCUCCAUCUUCUUCUUCCUCAUCUUCUUACACAUUCAAACCUAUAAAAUAAAGCUGAAUUUUUUUUUUAUAAACUUGAUCUUCAUCUCUUCUUCUCUCAAAAGUUUAAAACUCAAUUCAUUUUUAUAAAAACUCAAAUUCAGGAGUUUCCCUCCUUCCAAAUACUUCAAAACAAACCAUUUAUUAAGAAAGUGAGAAAGAGAGAAAUGAUUCAUUAACUUGAAUAGAAGUUCAUGAAGGUAUUUUUAUACAUUUCUCAAAUGUACUAUAUAUCUAAGAUGAAGUGUACUACAUAAAAUAACCUAAUUGUACAACACUAGCUUUGUGACUUGUACUGCAAGCUAUCUUCAUUCUCAUGCUUUUUAUCCUUUGAAUCUAAUAGCAUUCGAAUUAGAUGCAAACAAGACUGAGUAUUUUCGGAGAAUAAAGCAAAGCCACCAGACUAAAUAGAAUGAUCAACAACAAAAUUAGAACUAAAUCCUAAAUUUUAUCAGAAAAUUCACAUUCAAAAAACAAAUGAUUAACAGUUUCAUCUUUUCAAAAAAACAAUUUCAUCUUUCUCACAUCCUAUAGUAAUAACAAGAGAUUCAGAACGAAGAAUCUCACGACGAACUAAAUUGGCCUUUGUAGAAAUCCUAUUAUUGAGAAGCCACCAAUCAAACAAGGACAAUUUCAACAAAGUUGUUUUAUUCCAACUAACAUUCAAGAGAGCUGAAGAUGUUGGAUAAAUUAUUUAAUUAAUCAAUUAUAAAUUGAUUCUAACAAAUUUUCAGAAAUUAUUUUUAAUACUACUAUAAAUUAUGGUACAUUAAUGUUUUAAGAAUUAAGUAAUUGAUGAAUAUGUGUGUUAGACUCUUUUUCUGAAUGGACAUGAUGGAUCAAACCAUACAAUUAAGCUCAAUUCGAGGUUCGUGUCCUCGAUCGUUUAACUAAUUCAAAGUCAUCCUAUCAAACGGUUAAACAUAAAACAAUAAUGUAAUAUGUGUAUGCAUUCAUGAUCUAUCUUUGAUAAUGUAAAAUAUAUGUUGUAAUUUGUAUUUUGAUAUGGCUAACUCUGUUAAAUUCAACAAUGGUAUCGGAGAAAAAAUAUAUAUUUUAUGGGUAUUUGUUUUUGAAUCGUCUGAACGGAAUAUGUUUUCCCCGUAUACUUAUUUUCAAUUGUUUGCAUGGGGCUAUUGUAUUGUUUGUUAAACCCUAUGAAGAAAAUUGUUAGAAGGGCUAUGAUGUACUACUGUCGUACUGAGAGAUGUCAAUGAAUGACUAAUGGUUAGAAGGGUUUACGAAAUUCCUUGGAGUCACUGCUGAUUAUUAUAUGGUUGAAUUAUGGGGAAUUUAUGAGCGUCUUUGCAUAGCAAGACUCUUUGGUAGUUGUUUAGAACACAAGGCAUGAGAAUAAUGAUAGUGUUAUGGAUAUAAAUCUUAUGAAGAAAAUCGUAGUGUGAGAAUCAAACUUUAAAUCUUGAGAAAGAGUACAUUUCAAAAAUCCAAGUCAAAACCAUCAGUGAGAAAGUCGAAUGAGUCAAACUAAGAGAUUUUGAUCACUCAUGUGUCUCAAAAAGCUAACAUGAGUUAUAAAAUUUUGAAUUUUUUUCACAGUCAUAUUUAGUUCAUUAUAAAAUUUUGAUUUUUUUUCACAGUCUUAUUUAGUUCAUUAUAAAAUUUUCUCUUACAAAAGUUUAAGUUUUUUAAAAAUGAAUGAAUUAAAUGUUAAUUUUUUACGUUUUGCUGCUUUAAAAUUCAUAUUUUGUUAAAAAAAAUCUUUUUUUUUUUCAAUCAAAAGAAAAUAUAAAAAAAAGAGGAAAUAGAAAAGCUAAGGGGGCAUAAACCUGACUCAACAAUCACAUAAUCAACCCAUAAAGCGUAUUACAACAGUGAUUAAACAAAAGUGGUAUAAAGAUACAAAUGCUUUGCGGUCAAAUACACAAGUACAAUUCGGCAAACCCAACGCGGGAUACGAAACCAAAUUUCAAAAGAAAGUGACGUAAAAAACAACAAGCAUAACCAUCAAACCAGACUAGAGACGAAUCUAAAUGAAAUUCAAACUCUUUUUUUUUUUUUUUUUUGUGGCGUAUGAACUGCCGCCAACACGGACAGAUUCACUGACCACCUACCGCUACAAAUAAAGACAGCAAGCAUCGCGGCCCUUUCGAGCACAACAAACUCUAAAAAAAAAUAUCUAUUUUGAGAGAAACCAUUCUUGUAAAAGAAAAACAUUGAGAGAAAAAGUAGAUGGAACAUGGCAUAACAUUCAUUAAUUCGAUCUAACAAAAUUGAUAUCUAAGAUGUGUGAGUGUUGUAAAUCCUUCAAAUUUACAAGGAUUCAAGUCCUUGAACAAAAAGUCGAGCAAAAUCUUCCAUUUGUUGCUUGUUCAAAGUCAAACCAAUCUCAAUUCCACCAUCAUUAUUCCUAUUUCCCGAAAGAUAAAAAGCUCCUGGUCUAUCAACCGAAGUAACAUCAACUUUCUUAGGCUUACCCCACCCAAAAUCAAAACUAUACACCUCAAACCUAGGUGACCCGGUAAUAGAAAAAAUCUUAUAAGUCUCAUCCGUUCUAGAUGUUUUAGAUUGCAUCAUUGACAUCCAAUUUUCCAAACCAUUUAACACACCAUUUUCCAAAUCAUUCAACACAUCAAUUAUCCCUUUAAGAGCACUAAUAAACCCACCAUCUUCCAACAAUGCCUCAGUUUCAUGCACAACUAAUCUUGACACAAUACAAUUCCCAAAAUAAUUUUCAUUAAUUGGUGGAUCCAAGCGUGACCUACAAUCAACAGCAAAAACCAAAAAUGCCUUAUUGGGUUUUUGUUGGUCAACUUUAACCCCUAAUGACAACAAAUAAGCACAUGUAACCGCAAAAGUUGAAACCUUUUUAUUUUCAACCUUAGAUUGUGCAUAUUUCUUAAGCUUUUGAAUAUCCAAAAGUGAUAAUUCAAACAAACCUUUGAUUGCUUCACCUUUUGUUGCACUUAUUGUUUGCCAAACCUUUAAGCUACGAUUAUUUGUUUCUCCACCAAAAUUCAUCCAUUUUUUUGAAUGAAUUUCAUUUAUUCCUAAAGGGUCUUUUAUAAUGGACCUAUCAAAAAAAGGUGUUAGAUUUUGAGGUAAAAACAAAGAGGGUGUGUUUUUUUCAAGGUUGGAACAAAAAUAAGACCAAGCUUUCAUAAACAAGGUUGAAGAUUUUCCAUCAACAGCUGCAUGGUGUGUGGUUAUACCAAUACAAAAUCCAUGGUUAGGAAAAAAAGUGACUUGUAGUGAAAUAAUUGAUGCUUUUUCAUGUGAAAUUUCCAAACUUGGGAUUAAGUUUUUUCUUUUUUCAACUUCACAAAGAUUGGAACAUAAAAUAUUGAAAUUUUCAUUUGACUCAGCUACAAUUAAGGGAAUGGAAUCACUAGGGACAUAGUUGAUGAUGGGAUGUGAUGAAUCUUG
Molecule: long non-coding RNA, 17222 nt
Filed under: Medicago truncatula (barrel medic)
Lineage: Eukaryota; Viridiplantae; Streptophyta; Magnoliopsida; Fabales; Fabaceae
Description: long non-coding RNA (MTRU_LNC003849)
Source: RNAcentral